RNAcentral lists this ribosomal RNA (492 nucleotides) under uncultured bacterium. Its description in RNAcentral is "partial 16S ribosomal RNA". It matches the Rfam family "Bacterial small subunit ribosomal RNA", at positions 29 to 507 of the family's 1533-position model. The record is from RNAcentral.
AGUGAACGCUGGCGGUAGGCCUAACACAUGCAAGUCGAACGGCAGCACAGUAAGAGCUUGCUCUUACGGGUGACGAGUGGCGGACGGGUGAGGAAUACAUCGGAAUCUACUUGUUCGUGGGGGAUAACGUAGGGAAACUUACGCUAAUACCGCAUACGACCUACGGGUGAAAGCAGGGGAUCUUCGGACCUUGCGCGAUUGAAUGAGCCGAUGUCGGAUUAGCUGGUUGGCGGGGUAAAGGCCCACCAAGGCGUCGAUCCGUAGCUGGUCUGAGAGGAUGAUGAGCCACACUGGAACUGAGACACGGUACAGACACCUACGGGAGGCAGAAGUGGGGAAUAUUGGACGAUGGGCGCAAGCCUGAUCCAGCCAUACAGCGUGGGUGAAGAAGGCCUUCGGGUUGUAAAGCCCUUUUGUUGGGAAAGAAAAGCAGCAGGUUAAUCCCCCGCUGUUCUGACGGUACCCAAAGAAUAAGCACCGGCUAACUUCGUG